AUGGCAUGCUGUGCUUAUGUUCUUUUGAUUAUCUGUCGACAUUUUCAGCAUGCUGUGUGCAUGAUGUGCGCAGACAUGACAAGGUUUGUAAAUUUUUGUCGACAUUUUCAGCACUCUGUGCGCAUGCUCUGUGCACGUUGCGCGCAGGCUUCGUGCAUGAUGCGCAUAGGCUGCGUGCAGGGGUGGGAAGUGUGAAGCUCAGGGUUCUCAAGGUGCUUCCUGAUCUCCUUCGAUUUGACUUUGUUCUUAUUGAAUACUAUAUUUGCUAAAAAUUCCUUACUGUAUAUGAGUAUAUUCCGAACUGAUUGGCGAUCUUGUUUGCGUGUCUGCUUCUUCAUAUUCUUCUUAGCAAUUCAAUGCUAUUGCUUUGGGAUUUAAAAAUGCUUCAACUUUUGUACAAAAUUUGCAUACAGAGCAUUUUAUACCUACGUUUUCUUGUUGAAAUUAAUCUUUGUUUCCUUAGCCAUUUCUGCUCCAAGAUUACGGAAAAUUUAGAAUUCAUAAUUUUUGGGGUAGAGCAUUUACCUUCGGAAAUUUUUUGUUUACACUACAUUAUGCAACUCUAG
RNAcentral lists this long non-coding RNA (566 nucleotides) under Prunus dulcis (almond). Its description in RNAcentral is "sRNA ncRNA". The record is from RNAcentral. Lineage: Eukaryota; Viridiplantae; Streptophyta; Magnoliopsida; Rosales; Rosaceae.